This is a small nuclear RNA of Choloepus didactylus (southern two-toed sloth), 103 nucleotides long. NCBI's taxonomy places the organism in Eukaryota, Metazoa, Chordata, Mammalia, Pilosa, Megalonychidae. The record is from RefSeq and is a predicted model, not a curated record.
GUGCUUCAGCAGCACAUAUACUUAAAUUGGAAUGAUACAGAAAAGAUUUGCAUGGUCCCUGCACAAGGAUGAUUUGCAAAUUCCUGAUGCGUUCCAUAUUUUU